Molecule: RNA transcript, 2464 nt
Organism: Scleropages formosus (Asian bonytongue)
Lineage: Eukaryota; Metazoa; Chordata; Actinopteri; Osteoglossiformes; Osteoglossidae
Gene: tdrkh
Gene name: tudor and KH domain containing
Exons: 15
Source: RefSeq, a predicted model, not a curated record
UCUGAUGUGAUGGAUGUUGCGCGCCAGGUUACAUGGUUACUACGGGCCAUGAAGCUCGGCAGCUUUCAUUUUGCGUUUACAGCGAACUCUUAACUCUUCGAAUAUCAUUGGUCUUUACGGGUCACGUGACACACGUCUGCCAAUGAGCGCGCACCGCGAUGUGGGAACGUUGCAAUAAAUUCACCUGAUACGGAGAGGUGAACACUUGCAAACGUGUAAGGUAGCAGCUCUUUCCUUGCUUGAAGUGAGCGAUGUCAUCUGCCGGGGAAGGGUCUUGGAACCGUCUGAGUACAGAGAAAAAGGUUGCCCUGGUUUUAGGGGUCCCCGUUGCGGCUACAGUUGGCUAUAUCCUGUACCGCCGUUUCGUCAGGCAGAAUGACCAAAGGGAGAUUUUACAGGAGUCCAGAAUGACUGUUCCCCUAGAAGUGUACCAGUCCAUUGCCAGACACCAGGGCUCCUUCCUAGACCUGGUGACUCAGCAGUCUGGUGCCCAAGUGAAAAUGCAGGCACAGGCAUGGGACCAGAGUACAGUGUGCUUCUGCCUGCAGGGCUCCACUCAGCAGGUGUUACGAGCUAGAUGUGCUUUAGAAAAACUGGUGUCCGACUGCGAGGUCAUCACUGAGUUGUUUGAGGUUCCACAAGCUGCUCUCGUACGUAUAAUAGGGCGUGGUGGAGAAAACUUGAAGCUGAUAAACCGAACCUCAGGGGCUCGAGUGAGCUGUCCCAGAGGCAAGGGCAACCACCUGAUGGAGAAGGGCAGCAUCUUCAUUACAGGAACACGGCGUGAGGUGCAGCAUGCCAAGGAGCUAGUCCUUCAGAAGGUGGUUGAGAGUGAGGAGGUACGUUGCCAAAUAGCCCAGUCAUCUGCCCUGCGUCAAAAGAGGCGGCCUCCGGAGUUAUGUGGCCGGAGAGUCAGGAAGGGCGAAUCGAAGCCCACGCAGGAGAUGAAGGAAGAGACAGAGGGGUCAAAAUGCCAGCAACAGGUGGUAUAUGUUGGAGGAACUGCAGAGUCUCAACACAGUGUUGGGUCUACAGAACAGCAACAGUCCAAAGUGGAGGCUGGCGAAGAGGCCGAAGAAGUGUCACCACAGGACAUCUCCAAGUUUGAAAUUCCUAGUCCAGACUUGAGCUUCCAGCCUGAUGAACACCUGGAAGUUUACGUAUCAGCAGUUGAGAAUCCACAGCACUUCUGGAUCCAGGUCUUGGGUGUGAGAUCACUGCAUCUGGACAAAUUGACUGCGGAGAUGAGCCGUUUUUAUAGCAAUGGAUCUUCACCAGAGCAGAAAGUAGAGAAAGUGGUGGUGGGGGACAUUGUGGCAGCCCCCUACCGGGACCAUGGGACCUGGAACAGAGCCAAAGUGCUCGGUGUGCUGGAGUCAGGCCUGGUGGGUCUCUAUUAUGUUGACUAUGGAGACAACGAUGAGCUCACCCCGGAGAGCCUGCGAAGGAUGAGGAGUGACUUUUUAAGCCUUCCCUUCCAGGCCAUUGAAUGUAGUUUAGCUGGAGUGUGUCCAGCAGGGGAGUCCUGGACAGAGGCUGCUUUGGAUGACUUCAACCGCUUGACCUACUGUGCUCAGUGGAUACCGCUUCUGGCAAAAUUGCGUAGCUACUCCCAUUCCGGCUUCUCCUCUUGGCCCAACGUUCAGCUCUUUGACAACAGCCAUGGCAAGUCUCUGGACCUAGGCGAUGAGCUGGUCCGACUGGGCCAUGCAGCGCACUGUCAGGAUUUGGGUGACGGAGGAGGACUCGGGGGCAACAGUGAUGAUCCUGGUUCACUGCAGAAGAUGUUGGAUGAUGUAACUGGAGUCACAUCAGAGCUUAGCCUCUCUUGCAUCAGUUUGUCAGAAGUAGCCUCAAUCUCAGGAAGCAUGGAUGAUGUUAUAGACGAUGAAUUGAUUUGAAACCAAAACCAGCAUACCUGCUUUGCACUACUGCCUUGCCUUGCCUUAUUCAACGUUUUUCUGCUGCUGCUGUUGCUGCUGCUGCUUUCUGGCAAUGCCAACUUUGACCUGUGUGUGAUCUGACCCCAUUUACCUCUCACAGCUAUUGCAGAGUGUGGUGAAUCUGUAAUACUGCCUCACAUUCUGCUUACUUGAAUCCAAAUAAGUCUUUGGAAGGCCAAGCAUGACCCCUGACCUCCCCCUUCACUUCUGAAACUUUUAAAAGUUAAUUUUGUUAAACUAAACAUACUUCUACAUCGAGUGCAAAACUGAUUUUAGAUUGACAUGUUUCAGUUCUGCAUUGCCUUAUUUUUCAUUGCUACUGUUUGUUUCCAAUUGUAUUUGUAUCUGUUUCCAACUGACUUAAUUUUGACUGUGUUUAAAAGUUGUAUUUUAAAGAAAUAAAAUUAUUUACGUUUGAAUGUAUGCGCUGAAUAUGACUAACAGAAGCAGUAAACCAAAGCCGACAUUACUUUUCUUCAUUUAGAAGAUGCUUCUUUUCAAAUAUUGUGGAAAAAGAUCAU